This is a non-coding RNA of Parasteatoda tepidariorum (common house spider), 1450 nucleotides long. NCBI's taxonomy places the organism in Eukaryota, Metazoa, Arthropoda, Arachnida, Araneae, Theridiidae. The record is from RefSeq and is a predicted model, not a curated record.
AAAAACUAACCUCACUAAUGAAAAAAUGUGUUGCUGUUCUGUUUGUAAGUUUUGAUAUUCAAUUAACACAUUCAGUUAAAAAUGUCUCUCCUUCCUUAUCAUUCAUGUUGAUUAUAACUUCUCUGUGUUUUAUUACAUUUUUAAAACUUAAUAAACAAGUUAGUCAUACUUAUAAGUUCAUUAAACCUUCAUCCUAUAAGAAUAUAUAAUAGCUUUUUGUACUUCUCUGUCUGGUGUAGAUUUAACGUGCCUUUGAAAUUAUUUUUUAGGUAAAAAAAGGAAAUGUUUUCAAUAUUAAUUUUUAUUUGUUCUCUUUUGUAUAAAGUAGAAAUUACAUUUUUUUGAAUUUUAAUUUUUUUUCACUCUAUAGGUAGGGUCGAUGUAAAAUUUAACUAAGUUAAUGUAUACAAGUUUGUAACACAAAUAAUGAUGUUAAUUUUUUAAAAUUAUUAAUAGGAAAAAGAGGAACUUAGAAGAAGUGUCCAAGGAAUCCUUGAUAAACUCACGCCACGGAAGUUUGGAACUCUAUAGACUCAAAUCAAAAAUCUUAACAUCGACACUGAAGAAAAACUGUGCGCAGUCAUUGAUUUAAUAUUUAAGGCAGCUGGGGCAGAGGCAAACUCCAGUGUCCCCUAUGCAAACAUGUGCAAGCAGUUGGCAUUAAUUUAUUGGUGAACUCUUUUGCCUUGGAAUGUUAACCGAACCUAUCAUGCAUGAAUGUAUAAAGAGGCUCUUCUCCAAAGGAGAUGAAGUAUCACUUGAGUGUUUGUGUCAAUUUCUGAAAACGAUAAGUAAAGAAUUAGAUGAUCGAAAAAUUAAAGGUUCAAAGGAAAGUCUACUGUCAGUUCCUUGGCUAAGUUUGGCGCUCACUGUGAAGUGCUUCUGCCAAAUAUUUUAGUUCUAUGCAGAGAAGCCUCCUGGAUUAUGAUGAUGAAGUGAGAGACAGAGCAACCUACUAUUUAAAUAUCCUAAAUCAGAAAGAAGCAAAAAGGACUUUACUCCCAAUUCAUCUUGAAUGAUGUUUCCACCAUUGGGAAGUCCAAAGAUAAAGUUGCUGCUUCACGUCAAGAUAUAUUUGCAGAUCAAUUGUCGGCAGUUCCAGAGGUCUCUUCAUUGAACUCGAGUCCAUUGUUUAAAUCUUCUCUUCCUAUUGAACUCACUGAAUCCGAGACUGAGUUUGUUGUUAGAUGCAUUAAACACACAUUCACUAAUUACAUUGUGUUGCAGUUUGACUGUACGAACACCUUGUCAGAUCAAGUGUUGGAGAACGUUUAUGUUCAGGUUGACCCCAGUGAGAUUUUAAAGCGGUUUGUUACUCUCCUUGUUCAAAAUUACAGUACAGUGCUCCUGGUGCAGCAUAUGCCUGCAUCAGCUUAUCCAAUGAUCCUUUAGUUGGUAAGUUUUAUUUAAUUCUCAAUGUUUUUGGAUCUGCAUGCUAUGUAUAAUUUGU